Molecule: non-coding RNA, 155 nt
Filed under: Schnuerera ultunensis
Lineage: Bacteria; Bacillati; Bacillota; Tissierellia; Tissierellales; Tepidimicrobiaceae
Also listed under: 1 other name
Description: Clostridium ultunense GlcN6P sequence
Rfam family: glmS glucosamine-6-phosphate activated ribozyme aptamer
About the family: This entry contains a glucosamine-6-phosphate activated ribozyme that is found in the mRNA for GlmS.
Source: RNAcentral
AUGGGAAUCAAAGCGCCGGAACUGUGAAAAGCAGUUGACGAGGUGGAGGAGUAUCGAAGCAUUCGGCGGAUGCCUCCCGGUGGAACCUGCCACUGUUACGCCUUUCCACAAAACAUCCGGGCGACCGGAUGGACAAAAGGAAGGCACAGGAGGGA